This is a long non-coding RNA of Carassius gibelio (silver crucian carp), 833 nucleotides long. RefSeq lists it as uncharacterized. The record is from RefSeq and is a predicted model, not a curated record. The transcript has 2 exons. Lineage: Eukaryota; Metazoa; Chordata; Actinopteri; Cypriniformes; Cyprinidae.
CUGACGAACCUCCCCUCUCAACUGCUCGCUCUCUAACUUUGCUUUUUGCAGUACCUUUUGAAUUUUUUAUAGCCAUAUUUUGCUUUGCUUCUGUUAAUUCUUUAAUCUCAGUAUUUAGAAAAAGGUUUCUUUAGUUUGCAUACAUUCUCUCUCUGUUUUUUUUUUUUUUCUAGCUCCAAAAAAACCUGGACUCCCACAAGGAAGAACCAUUAAUGUGGCACCACUUCCUCCUCCCCCCUUUUUUUGGCAUCUUCUUAAACUUGAAGAACUACACUGUAUAAUGAGAAUGGGACACUGUAACAUCAGCGAUGGAAUAUGUGCACUUCCUUCCGCUGUCCAAAGGGAGCGCUUUCCAAACAUUUGGUGCUGACUGGGUGUAACAGCAACUCCAUGUGGAAGGUUUCUUAUGUCUUCCAGUGGAGCUGCUGUUGCGUGCAGAUAGUCACCUUUAUCUCUUUUGGUUCUGAGUUCAAAUACAGUCGUAAUGAAUGAUCUGCAAUUAUUAAUUAUGUGGCUGUAAAUUUAUUUGCAUGUUGUUAGAAAGCAUGUUUAAACCAGUGUCUGGGACACAGGGUGAUGACCUAUGAAUUGACAGCCAGUGUUUGCAGUCCAGCUGCCUGUCAGUUCUGUAGGCCACUGUCCUGUUUAUCCUACUAAACACACACUGAUUUGCACAGAGAAUGCAGGGCGUUGUAUAAAUGUUGGACUAGAAUUUUUUUUGGGAACAUUUAUGUCAAGGCUAUACUACAACAUGAUUUAUUUUAUAUUAUGUUUAUUUGUUUUAUUUUCACUGCAUUUAAUUUCAUUUGAACAUUAAAUUAUUUCAAAAUCAA